Molecule: long non-coding RNA, 1815 nt
Organism: Hirundo rustica (Barn swallow)
Lineage: Eukaryota; Metazoa; Chordata; Aves; Passeriformes; Hirundinidae
Exons: 2
Source: RefSeq, a predicted model, not a curated record
CGGCGGGGGAAGAGGACGAGGAGGAAGAAGCUGCGCGCGGAGCGGCGGUGGCAGCGGCCCCUUCCCGAGGGGCGACGGGGACGGAGCCCGCGGGUGUCCGACCCCGGUGUCCCCACGUGCAGGCUCCUCCGUGUUGCUCUCUGAAAGCAUUUGCACAGAAGCUGUUUCUCCGUGAGCAGCUGUGGGGCAUUUGGCUGAUGGUUUUGACAGCAGAGAUGAACUGAGGACGUGGCAUAUGCAGUCCUGACCUGGAAUUUGAACCCUUUAGUGCCUCUCCCUCCUCCCAGACGGAAAGGAGGCGGAAGAUCUCAGAAUCUUCUGAUUGCCAUCGAUCUGAUUUUGCUGAACACUGGCCUCGUAUCAUGUCUGUGUGUUCCUUGAGAGAUGAUUUCAAUCUGAAAAAAAACCCUGUAAGUAUCUUGAGAGCUGGAAAUCAGCUGCUCUGAUCUAACAUUUCUCCAGCAUUUAGCCAUCACCUCUACAACCAGUACUUCAUUUAAAAAAACCCAAACAAACAUGAAGCAUAAGGAAAACCAUGAGAUAAUGUUGCUGAUUUUGAGGCCCAACUUACAUGUUUUUCCUUUCUGGUAUUUUUGUAGGGAAGAGGGAAUUGUAUCAUAUUUUUAUCUUUUUUUUUUUUUUUUUUUUUUUCCCCACAUCUGGAAGGACUAGACAUUUCUUUAACAGAGGGGAAAAUAAAAUAAGUUGAGAUUCCCAGGUGUUAAUGUGGCUGAAAGAAAACAUGAAUACAUAGAAAUUCAUGCUCGUUAGUACUGGCACAGGUGUGACUCUGUAGAGCUGAAGCUAACCAAGACUAGAGAUGAGAACUGCACAAAAUUGAAGCCCUGAUUAAUUAAGAGCAAUUUCUUGGCACAGACAAUGAUGGAGCAUCCUUGGGUGGAUGUGCACAUGUCUCAGUGGACCUCAGCCCUGCUUGCCUGUGCUGGGGUGAGGCUUUGUGUGGGCAGGCAAGGGCUAGAAAAGUGGCUUUGCCAAGAAAGCCAAGCCAAGAGGAGCAGUGAGCCCCCUCACCACUGCAGCUUCAUGUGUGUUGCAGCACCCAGCACACUCGUGCCCCGUGCUUCUCCAGGGGCUCCAUGCUUGGAACAGCUGCUGGAGGAAGUGUGGGAUCAGGAAGGGAAUCCUGUGCACACAGGGGAAUGUCCUUUUCAUGCAGGAUGAUAAGCAAAACCCUGAAAGAGUAGUGAUGGAUCCAGCAGCCCUGGGGAGAGCCCACACUGCUGGAACCACUGGCUUCAUGGAACAUUUUCCUGGAGUCCAAUAGUAGUUUUCUAGAGUUAAAAAAUGAUCAAAUUUCUUUUCCUCCCUGUCUGCCAAAGGCUUUUUUGUCAUCUGUGUCCAAAAUCUCCAGCAGAAACCCUAUGAUUGGAGCAAUUUGGUCCAAUGCCAUGAGAAAGGACUGCUCUACACGCCUUAGGAAGUGCAAAAAGGAGAAAGAAGGUAGAGCCCUCCUCUGUGCUGUGCUGGAUUGCUCAUCAAAGCCAGCUGCCUCCUGUGCUGACUUGAGGAUGUGACAGAUGUGUGUAACAUUUACAGGUGCAGGGCCUGCAUUUCAUCAGGUUUUUUUCCAUGGAUGACCUGGAGUGUGCAUUAUUAGCAGCUCAGAUUUCUUUGGCUAAGGUUCUUUGUUGUGUACACAUCCAGGUUAAAUCUAAGCAAUAUUUCUGAUCCAUGCAGGCUUCUGACUCGGUUCUGCAUCUUUGGUGUUUACAAAAUGAUCAGAGUUUGAACUCUCCCUGUUCUGUUUCUUAAAUGUCAGCAGAAACUUUUUUUUUUUUUUUUUUUUUUUUUUUU